CUCAGGAUGAACGCUAGCUACAGGCUUAACACAUGCAAGUCGAGGGGCAGCAUGGUCUUAGCUUGCUAAGGCCGAUGGCGACCGGCGCACGGGUGAGUAACACGUAUCCAACCUGCCGUCUACUCUUGGACAGCCUUCUGAAAGGAAGAUUAAUACAAGAUGGCAUCAUGAGUCCGCAUGUUCGCAUGAUUAAAGGUAUUCCGGUAGACGAUGGGGAUGCGUUCCAUUAGAUAGUAGGCGGGGUAACGGCCCACCUAGUCUUCGAUGGAUAGGGGUUCUGAGAGGAAGGUCCCCCACAUUGGAACUGAGACACGGUCCAAACUCCUACGGGAGGCAGCAGUGAGGAAUAUUGGUCAAUGGGCGAGAGCCUGAACCAGCCAAGUAGCGUGAAGGAUGACUGCCCUAUGGGUUGUAAACUUCUUUUAUAAAGGAAUAAAGUCGGGUAUGCAUACCCGUUUGCAUGUACUUUAUGAAUAAGGAUCGGCUAACUCCGUGCCAGCAGCCGCGGUAAUACGGAGGAUCCGAGCGUUAUCCGGAUUUAUUGGGUUUAAAGGGAGCGUAGAUGGAUGUUUAAGUCAGUUGUGAAAGUUUGCGGCUCAACCGUAAAAUUGCAGUUGAUACUGGAUAUCUUGAGUGCAGUUGAGGCAGGCGGAAUUCGUGGUGUAGCGGUGAAAUGCUUAGAUAUCACGAAGAACUCCGAUUGCGAAGGCAGCCUGCUAAGCUGCAACUGACAUUGAGGCUCGAAAGUGUGGGUAUCAAACAGGAUUAGAUACCCUGGUAGUCCACACGGUAAACGAUGAAUACUCGCUGUUUGCGAUAUACAGCAAGCGGCCAAGCGAAAGCGUUAAGUAUUCCACCUGGGGAGUACGCCGGCAACGGUGAAACUCAAAGGAAUUGACGGGGGCCCGCACAAGCGGAGGAACAUGUGGUUUAAUUCGAUGAUACGCGAGGAACCUUACCCGGGCUUAAAUUGCAGAUGAAUUACGGUGAAAGCCGUAAGCCGCAAGGCAUCUGUGAAGGUGCUGCAUGGUUGUCGUCAGCUCGUGCCGUGAGGUGUCGGCUUAAGUGCCAUAACGAGCGCAACCCUUGUUGUCAGUUACUAACAGGUUCCGCUGAGGACUCUGACAAGACUGCCAUCGUAAGAUGUGAGGAAGGUGGGGAUGACGUCAAAUCAGCACGGCCCUUACGUCCGGGGCUACACACGUGUUACAAUGGGGGGGUACAGAGGGCCGUUACCACGCGAGUGGAUGCCAAUCCCAAAAACCUCUCUCAGUUCGGACUGGAGUCUGCAACCCGACUCCACGAAGCUGGAUUCGCUAGUAAUCGCGCAUCAGCCACGGCGCGGUGAAUACGUUCCCGGGCCUUGUACACACCGCCCGUCAAGCCAUGGGAGCCGGGGGUACCUGAAGUGCGUAACCGCGAGGAGCGCCCUAGGGUA
RNAcentral lists this ribosomal RNA (1438 nucleotides) under uncultured organism. RNAcentral's name for it is "16S ribosomal RNA". It matches the Rfam family "Bacterial small subunit ribosomal RNA". The record is from RNAcentral.